Molecule: long non-coding RNA, 168 nt
Organism: Electrophorus electricus (electric eel)
Lineage: Eukaryota; Metazoa; Chordata; Actinopteri; Gymnotiformes; Gymnotidae
Source: RefSeq, a predicted model, not a curated record
GUGUGGCCUCUGAAGAUUCCCAGUAAGGACUGUUGUGUGGCCUCUGAAGUCUCCCAGUAAGGACUGUUGUGUGGCCUCUGAAGAUUCCCACAGGGCGUGUGACUCACAUCACCAGCAGAUUCCGUGGAAAAUUAAAAUGGUGAAAUUAAAGUGAGUGGUGGUCUCAAA